GCUUCGGUGGCGCAGCUGGUUUAGCGCUUUGUGCUUAUAGUAAUGUAACUGUGACAAACAGCACAGUGUCGAUUGAGACGCGACGGUCGUGGGUUCGAUCCCCACUCGAAGCA
Molecule: transfer RNA, 113 nt
Filed under: Candida maltosa Xu316
Lineage: Eukaryota; Fungi; Ascomycota; Pichiomycetes; Serinales; Debaryomycetaceae
Rfam family: tRNA
About the family: Transfer RNA (tRNA) molecules are approximately 80 nucleotides in length.
Source: Rfam by way of RNAcentral